CGAGUGCUGCUCCGGCCGAGGAGGAGGCGGGUUCCCGACUGGCCGGCCUAGCGCGGGAGUUCGGUCUCACCGCGCUCGAC
RNAcentral lists this transfer RNA (80 nucleotides) under Streptomyces sp. ADI98-10. RNAcentral's name for it is "tRNA-Gly". The record is from RNAcentral. Lineage: Bacteria; Bacillati; Actinomycetota; Actinomycetes; Kitasatosporales; Streptomycetaceae.